Molecule: ribosomal RNA, 484 nt
Filed under: uncultured Desulfobulbus sp.
Lineage: Bacteria; Pseudomonadati; Thermodesulfobacteriota; Desulfobulbia; Desulfobulbales; Desulfobulbaceae
Description: bacterial SSU rRNA
Rfam family: Bacterial small subunit ribosomal RNA
Source: RNAcentral
CAAAGGAAUUGACGGGGCCGCACAAGCGGUGGAGUAUGUGGUUUAAUUCGAUGCAACGCGAAGAACCUUACCUGGUCUUGACAUCCCGGAGACCCUUAGGAAACUAGGGGGUGCUUCCAUCUGGAAGAAUCUGGAGACAGGUGCUGCAUGGCUGUCGUCAGCUCGUGUCGUGAGAUGUUGGGUUAAGUCCCGCAACGAGCGCAACCCUUGCCUUUAGUUGCCAGCAGUUCGGCUGGGCACUCUAAAGGGACUGCCGGUGUUAAACCGGAGGAAGGUGGGGAUGACGUCAAGUCCUCAUGGCCUUUAUGACCAGGGCUACACACGUACUACAAUGGCCGAUACAAAGGGCAGCGACACUGCGAGGUGAAGCCAAUCCCGUAAAAUCGGUCUCAGUCCGGAUUGGAGUCUGCAACUCGACUCCAUGAAGUUGGAAUCGCUAGUAAUCGUGGAUCAGCAUGCCACGGUGAAUACGUUCCCGGGCCUU